AGGCCCCUUCUUGAUCAUCGCUGGUACGGAUGAGAGCGGCAGUGGGCAUUUGGAAAGCACCUGGGGCCGCGCCCGGGCGCAGUGCCCCCAUGUGGCCUCCCACCCCGGGCGGGCAGGACGAUUCCUGCCCAUCUGGAAGACCAGGAACCUGCGCGUUCACAGGGUUCGGAAGCCCGGGCUGCGCCUUCCCGCGGGGCCGGCUGCCGGGCUGGGGGCUCUUCCCGCCUCUGCAUGCACAGAGCCCGCGGUGCACGAACCUGCUCCCCGCCAGCCCCGCGGACUGGCAGGGCCGCUCUGGAGUCACCCGCGCCCGCUCCGCAGUGCGCAAACUCACUUCGCAGCGGGCUCUCCCGGGGCCAGCCCUUCCCUCCUGGGCGGGCAUUUUCACCUCCAGGUACAAGGGGGUGGUCCCCAGAGGAGGACUCAGGGGCUUAAGGAGAAGCUGAGGCCCGGUCCUCUGGCCUCAACGACUGCACAUUCUCGCCGCCUGCUUCACUUCUUAGAGCCUUGGAGGUGAAUUGGUCUCACCACCUCACCCCACCCCCAGGAGAUAGAACCUUCUAGUAAAAAUGAGAAAAUCCGGCCGGGCGCGGCGGCUCACGCCUGUAAUCCCAGCACUUUGGGAGGCUGAGGCGAGUGGAUCACCUGAGGUCGGGAUCACCUGAGGC
This 668-nucleotide long non-coding RNA is filed under the name Homo sapiens (human). Its description in RNAcentral is "non-protein coding lnc-BRD3-1:11". Lineage: Eukaryota; Metazoa; Chordata; Mammalia; Primates; Hominidae. The record is from RNAcentral.